RNAcentral lists this ribosomal RNA (568 nucleotides) under uncultured bacterium. RNAcentral describes it as "partial 16S ribosomal RNA". It matches the Rfam family "Bacterial small subunit ribosomal RNA", at positions 355 to 914 of the family's 1533-position model. The record is from RNAcentral.
UGGGGAAUUUUGGACAAUGGGCGAAAGCCUGAUCCAGCAAUGCCGCGUGUGUGAAGAAGGCCUUCGGGUUGUAAAGCACUUUUGUCCGGAAAGAAAUCCUUGGCUCUAAUACAGUCGGGGGAUGACGGUACCGGAAGAAUAAGCACCGGCUAACUACGUGCCAGCAGCCGCGGUAAUACGUAGGGUGCAAGCGUUAAUCGGAAUUACUGGGCGUAAAGCGUGCGCAGGCGGUUUGCUAAGACCGAUGUGAAAUCCCCGGGCUCAACCUGGGAACUGCAUUGGUGACUGGCAGGCUAGAGUAUGGCAGAGGGGGGUAGAAUUCCACGUGUAGCAGUGAAAUGCGUAGAGAUGUGGAGGAAUACCGAUGGCGAAGGCAGCCCCCUGGCCAAGUACUGACGCUCAUGCACGAAAGCGUGGGGAGCAAAACAGGAUUAGAUACCCCUGGUAGUCCACGCCCUAAACGAUGUCAACUAGUUGUUGGGGAUUCAUUUCCUUAGUAACGUAGCUAACGCGUGAAGUUGACCGCCUGGAGAGUACGGUCGCAAGAUUAAAACUUAAAUGAAUUGAC